Molecule: ribosomal RNA, 484 nt
Filed under: uncultured bacterium
Lineage: Bacteria
Description: partial 16S ribosomal RNA
Rfam family: Bacterial small subunit ribosomal RNA
Source: RNAcentral
AUUGAACGCUGGCGGCAUGCUUUACACAUGCAAGUCGAACGGCAGCGCGGGCUUCGGCCUGGCGGCGAGUGGCGAACGGGUGAGUAAUGCAUCGGAACGUGCCCAGUAGUGGGGGAUAGCCCGGCGAAAGCCGGAUUAAUACCGCAUACGACCUGAGGGUGAAAGCGGGGGACCGAAAGGCCUCGCGCUAUUGGAGCGGCCGAUGUCGGAUUAGCUAGUUGGUGGGGUAAAGGCUUACCAAGGCGACGAUCCGUAGCUGGUCUGAGAGGACGACCAGCCACACUGGGACUGAGACACGGCCCAGACUCCUACGGGAGGCAGCAGUGGGGAAUUUUGGACAAUGGGGGCAACCCUGAUCCAGCCAUGCCGCGUGCGAGAAGAAGGCCUUCGGGUUGUAAACCGCUUUUGCUCGGGAAGAAAUCCUCUGGGCUAAUACCCCGGGGGGAUGACGGUACCGGAAGAAUAAGCACCGGCUAACUACGUG